AACGCACAUUGCGCCCCUUGGUAUUCCAUGGGGCAUGCCUGUUCGAGCGUCAUUUGUACCCUCAAGCUCUGCUUGGUGUUGGGUGUUUGUCCUCUCCUCUGUGUUUGGACUCGCCUUAAAGCAAUUGGCAGCCAGUGUUUUGGUAUUGAAGCGCAGCACAAUUUGCGAUUCUAGCCCAAAGACUUGCGUCCAUAAGCCUUUUUUAACUUUUGACCUCGGAUCAGGUAGGGAUACCCGCUGAACUUAA
Molecule: unclassified non-coding RNA, 247 nt
Filed under: uncultured Phaeosphaeriaceae
Lineage: Eukaryota; Fungi; Ascomycota; Dothideomycetes; Pleosporales; Phaeosphaeriaceae
Description: sequence contains ITS2
Source: RNAcentral